Molecule: ribosomal RNA, 740 nt
Filed under: uncultured bacterium
Lineage: Bacteria
Description: bacterial SSU rRNA
Rfam family: Bacterial small subunit ribosomal RNA
Source: RNAcentral
ACGCUAGCGGGAGGCCUAACACAUGCAAGCCGAGCGGUAGAAGAUCUUCGGAUCUUUGAGAGCGGCGUACGGGUGCGGAACACGUGUGCAACCUGCCUUUAUCAGGGAGAUAGCCUUUCGAAAGGAAGAUUAAUAUCCCAUAAUAUUUUGAGUGGCAUCACUUAAAAUUGAAAGCUCCGGCGGAUAGAGAUGGGCACGCGCAAGAUUAGAUAGUUGGCGGGGUAACGGCCCACCAAGUCAAUGAUCUUUAGGGGGCCUGAGAGGGUGAUCCCCCACACUGGUACUGAGACACGGACCAGACUCCUACGGGAGGCAGCAGUGAGGAAUAUUGGACAAUGGGUGAGAGCCUGAUCCAGCCAUCCCGCGUGAAGGGCGACGGCCCUAUGGGUUGUAAACUUCUUUUGUAUAGGGAUAAACCUACCCUCGUGAGGGUAGCUGAAGGUACUAUACGAAUAAGCACCGGCUAACUCCGUGCCAGCAGCCGCGGUAAUACGGAGGGUGCAAGCGUUAUCCGGAUUUAUUGGGUUUAAAGGGUCCGUAGGCGGACUCGUAAGUCAGUGGUGAAAUCUCAUAGCUUAACUAUGAAACUGCCAUUGAUACUGCGGGUCUUGAGUAAGGUAGAGGUAGCUGGAAUAAGUAGUGUAGCGGUGAAAUGCAUAGAUAUUACUUAGAACACCAAUUGCGAAGGCAGGUUACCAUGUCUUAACUGACGCUGAUGGACGAAAGCGUGGGGAGCGAAC